Molecule: ribosomal RNA, 779 nt
Filed under: Gammarus balcanicus
Lineage: Eukaryota; Metazoa; Arthropoda; Malacostraca; Amphipoda; Gammaridae
Also listed under: 1 other name
Description: eukaryotic LSU rRNA
Rfam family: Eukaryotic large subunit ribosomal RNA
Source: RNAcentral
UAAGUCAGCCACGAAUAGGCUAUCCCAACUAACGGCGGGAAAGACUCCACGGAGGGUGUAAGACCCGUGUGGGCGCGUGUCGAAGCUGUGUGGGCUCGGCCUCUAUUCCCUGAGAGUCGCGUUGCUUGAGCAUGCAGCGCUAAGCAGGUCGUAAACUCGAUCUAAGGCUAAAUAUCUCCACAGAACCGAUAGCGAACAAGUACCGUGAGGGAAAGUUGAAAAGCACUCUGGAGAGAGAGUCAAAAGACCGUGAAACCGCUCAGAGUAUAAGCCCAUGGCAGCUUGGAAGGCAUAUCGAGAGCGGGGCAUCGGUCUGCCUUCGCGGGGAGCCGGUGUUACCUUGCCUCUGUUGUGGCUCGUCAUGGUAGGGGGGUCAGGUCCACAUCCCGCCGUCGUGUGGAGGGUUCUUGGGUGGUGGUUUGUGGUUUCUCGGUUGGCUUCGGCUGGCCGGGGGGCCCUUCGUGCUUGGUUCCCUUUUAGACACGGACGUUCAGACUCAGAGGCAAGACGCGAUAAACAGCCCACCACGGCACGUUGUGAGGUCACCCACAGGCUCGACUUUCGAUCGUGAACCUUGACGCCGAGCAAGCACAAUGCGUGUCGCUUAUGUUCCUAACCAGGCAUGGCUGCCAGGACCGUGGAACGACACGCGCUCAACAGUCAGGUUCGGGCGGAGACAGAGUUCUGGUAUGAUCCUCUUGCGACGAGCCGGCUUCUGGCCGACAUCCGAUGCUCAGGUCUCCCGCAUGUGCCGCGGGAGAUCGCCUUGACGGUCUGGA